AACUUUGAGAAGCAAGUACAUGUAGAAGAUAGAAAAUACCACAAAGGCGAAGUCUUCGAGGCUGACCAUGCCGCUCGCCGCCACGAUGAUCAUAACGGCGAGACAAUUGAGUUGCCUGAGGGUGAGAAAUCGAGUCGGUUUAAGAGGAUUGGGGUGGGAUGAUUUUUCAUGGCCUUGAAUUCCUUCAUUUGGUAGGCUUAUAUCAUUGCAGGUUGUACCAACCCCUCCUGACAUCUUUUUUUCUUUCUCAGAUGUGAUGACGAAUAGUAGCAGGUUUGUUUAUCUUUCCUCUAGCAAAGAAAGAAAGUGAAAGAAAUAUUGUAUGAAGAUUUUUCCUGGAAAAGUUACAGUGCAGAGGAGAGUGAGAGAAAAGGCUUGGAUGGGGUAAGUUAAGGAAGGG
RNAcentral lists this long non-coding RNA (400 nucleotides) under Gossypium raimondii (Peruvian cotton). RNAcentral describes it as "long non-coding RNA (GRAI_LNC004972)". Lineage: Eukaryota; Viridiplantae; Streptophyta; Magnoliopsida; Malvales; Malvaceae. The record is from RNAcentral.